Molecule: ribosomal RNA, 420 nt
Filed under: uncultured Dysgonomonas sp.
Lineage: Bacteria; Pseudomonadati; Bacteroidota; Bacteroidia; Bacteroidales; Dysgonomonadaceae
Description: bacterial SSU rRNA
Rfam family: Bacterial small subunit ribosomal RNA
Source: RNAcentral
GAGGAAUAUUGGUCAAUGGGCGAGAGCCUGAACCAGCCAAGUCGCGUGAAGGAAGACUGCCUUAUGGGUUGUAAACUUCUUUUAUACAGGAAUAAAAAGGCUUACGUGUAGGCCAUUGCAAGUACUGUAUGAAUAAGCAUCGGCUAACUCCGUGCCAGCAGCCGCGGUAAUACGGAGGAUGCGAGCGUUAUCCGGAUUUAUUGGGUUUAAAGGGUGCGCAGGCGGGCUUUUAAGUCAGCGGGGAAAUCUGGACGCUUAACGUCCAAACUGCGGUGGAACUGGGGGUCUUGAGUAAGGAAUAAGUUAGGGGGAAUCCUUGGUGAGCGGGUAAAUGGAUAGAUAUAACGAGGAACUCCGAUUGGGUAAGGAGCUUAAUAAGCCAUAACUGACGCUCAAGGACGAAAGGGUUGGGAACAAACA